This 466-nucleotide ribosomal RNA is filed under the name uncultured bacterium. RNAcentral describes it as "bacterial SSU rRNA". It matches the Rfam family "Bacterial small subunit ribosomal RNA", at positions 329 to 792 of the family's 1533-position model. The record is from RNAcentral.
CGCCAGACUCCUACGGGAGGCAGCAGUGAGGAAUAUUGGUCAAUGGGCGAGAGCCUGAACCAGCCAAGUCGCGUGAAGGAUGACGGCCCUACGGGUUGUAAACUUCUUUUGUCAGGGAGCAAUUGGGUCCACGCGUGGGCUUAGCGAGAGUACCUGAAGAAAAAGCAUCGGCUAACUCCGUGCCAGCAGCCGCGGUAAUACGGAGGAUGCGAGCGUUAUCCGGAUUUAUUGGGUUUAAAGGGUGCGUAGGCGGAAUAUCAAGUCAGCGGUAAAAAUUCGGGGCUCAACCCCGUCGUGCCGUUGAAACUGAUGUUCUUGAGAUGUCGAGAGGUAUGCGGAAUGCGCAGUGUAGCGGUGAAAUGCUUAGAUAUUGCGCAGAACUCCGAUUGCGAAGGCAGCAUACCGGCGGCGAUCUGACGCUGAGGCACGAAAGCGUGGGUAUCGAACAGGAUUAGAUACCCGUGUA